This 872-nucleotide long non-coding RNA is filed under the name Phoenix dactylifera (date palm). RNAcentral describes it as "long non-coding RNA (PDAC_LNC013593)". Lineage: Eukaryota; Viridiplantae; Streptophyta; Magnoliopsida; Arecales; Arecaceae. The record is from RNAcentral.
GGAUGACGUAGAGGCGAUGAAGAGGAUCAACCUUAUGAUGCUCCUGGCUCUGCUGGUCUUAGGGGCAGGCCUCUCCUUUGCCCAAGAAGAGUCCAAUCUUGGCCUCCUCCAUCUACCUGGUAAGCUAAUAUGUGUCACGAAGCACUCGAUUGGUUUGCUGGAGAAGAAGAGAAAAAAAUUAGAGAAAUACCUCAUAUUGUUUUGGAAUUUUUUAAAAAUAAACAAAGCAGGUUUUCAAUGAAAAUAAGAUUUCCAGAUAUGAAAAAGUCCAUUCUGAUUGACCGAACAUUAAGAUAAUUUUUUUUCCAAAAGUAUUUUCAACUUUUUAGAUAGAAUGGGUUAAAUUUUUUUUUCUUUGUUAAGAACAUAACAAAUAUUUUAUAUUAUUUUUUUCAAAAAAUAGACACGGGAUCCGCUACUAUUUUUUUAUAAUUAACUAAAUAUAUAAAAUAAAAAAAUAUUUUAGCAAGAAAAAAUUAGACGAAUAAUGUUCUUUGAGGUAUUAGUCUGCAUGCUUCGCUAAGACAUGCCCAGGUAAUCGUCGUGGUUAUGGCGAGAGGGUUGGGAAGAGGCCGUCGACGUGCUGCGAUGGCUUCGGUUCGAACCUCCCUUCGUCUGGUGCGACGAUAUCUUCCUCUACAGCUGUGGCCUGCGCUGCUCUCAAACUUAGCCUCCUGGAAAUUAGCUUCAUUAAUUUGCUCUUUGGUGCGCCUGGAUGGAUCAAAUGAGGGACGAAUGUAACCAAUGCUUUCUAUCCAUCUACCCUUUUAUUUAGUAUUCGGCUCUCUCUCUGUUUUUGGAGUCUGAAAAGGAUCUGUCAAAGUGGUCUCAUGUUAUAUUGUUGUUACAACUAGAACCAGGUUUAAAUAACG